UCUCCUUCCCUAACCGAGACACCUAUCUCUCUCUCCUCCCUUAUUUUCACCGACAAACACCACCACUUCCACCUUCUUCUUCGGCGAGCGGCACCCCGCUCUGGCCACCUCCCUCUCUACCAACGAAGAGAAUAUUUUCCCAACUCCCAUGAGUGCAUCUUCUCGGACCUUCGCCGUCUCUCCCGCUCUCUCUCCUGAGAUCCUUCCAUUACGAAGCCAACUGUAACCAAACCCCAAAAUCAAAGGUUUUUCGUCACUGAAAGCGAAAUCUGGUGGGCCAGAACCAAGGCCCAGAUGGGGCGGCUUCGAUCACGAGAUUUCAGGCCAAAAAACUGUGUCAUGGGACAAGUCAAGAUCCUAAAGCCAGGCGAGGAACUGAGGCUGCCGCCGACGAAUUUGGUUCUGGGUCCCACAGAUCUGUUGGGUCUCGACUCGGACACGGUCUAGAGGUAUUUUCAUCUCUUUUUCCUUCUCCAUGUGUGUUGCAUGUGUGCUUUUAUGACUUUACCGUCACUCCGCUCGCUCCAUUACAUGUAAUUUUGUGAUGAUUUCUUGCAUUUAGGUUUCAUUGUGUGCUUUUGUGCUUCUGUGUUCGAUUUGUGUGGGUAGACUCAUUUAGGGCUACUAUUUUUAGUUGCUGAUGUUUUCCCCCUUCCUGAUUUUUGUUGCAUGUUCGCUUUUGUGGCUUUAUUCUGAAAUCGUGUAGUAUUCAUUUUCAUUUGUUGUUUUUGUGACAGAUUUUGAGGAAUUUUGAUGGCUGGUCUGGUUGGUUUGGUUGAUUUGCCUGUGAUGAUUUACAUCUCUUGAGUUCGUGUGUGUCGAGAAAAUGGGACCCAUUUCUUGGCUUGACAAGUCUGAGGGCCUGUACAUGUGGAAGAGUAGACAGAUUGGCCCUCUCUCAAUGGGGCAACUAUUUUUCCAGCCAUGGUGGUAAACACCUUUUCUUCUGCUAUCAAAAUGCAGAUCUGAUCGAUUUCUUGGCUUGGCAAGUCUGAGGGCCCGUGGGAGAGUAGACUGAUCGGGCAUUCUUGCAGAAAUUGUAGAAUUUGUGAUGGGAAAGGAACUUAUCCCAGCUGUGAUGGGGAGAUAUGGGGUGUUAGACGACGUGUGAUAGUCCCAAUAUUGCAUCAGAAGGUAUCAUGAUGGCUUCUUACGUUCACUUCUGUUUGGUUUGAUCUUUUUCUUUCCUGUAUUGGUGUUUAGUGUCUUUUUAACUCUGUUGGUUGAAAAUUGUUAGUUUGUGAAAUUUCCUGAGUUCGAACUAUUUUAGUUCCAGCUUAUUUUCAAAGAUAAAAUCGCUCUAUCUGUGUAUUGUGUGAUCUUUAUAAUCUGUGGUAUAGUAUGUGGCAGUAAUGAUUAGCUUGUUUGGACAAGCUACGGAUAGACUAUGCCAGAAGCUCGAUGAGGCCGAUUCAAACAAAGAAGAUGUAGAGAUGGAGUCACUUUUCUCCUGUUAGAAUUGAAUAGGAAAGUUGGUUGUUCGGUUUAAGGAUGAGGAGUGGGUUAAAGUGUUGGAUGUUGUUUCCAUUCUAUUUUUUUUGGGUUUGAGAGUUGGAUGUUGUUUGCAUUCUAUUUUUGUCCCCCUUCAUUUUUUCAUUCUUUCCAUUGUAUAUCCAGCUUUGUUGUGCAGCUACCUAAUAAGAUAGCAUGAGAUUUUAUGAUAAUUAUGCACAUACAGAUGGUGCUUUGGAUAAAGCGAGAAAAGACAAGAAGAGGCAGCUUAAAGAUACAUUGAAUCUUGUUCUUAAGAAGAGGAAGGUAAUGGCAAAACUUUGACAACUAAUACAUUGGCUAGCAUAAUUACCCUCGGUCUAUGUUUUGGACAUUAACUCUUUCUGACUCUUUGAUAUGUUUCUAUACUCUUAGAGCUCAUGAUAAUAGUUAAUUGAAAUCUUUUGCUCUUCAUUGCUA
Molecule: long non-coding RNA, 1911 nt
Organism: Rhododendron vialii
Lineage: Eukaryota; Viridiplantae; Streptophyta; Magnoliopsida; Ericales; Ericaceae
Exons: 3
Source: RefSeq, a predicted model, not a curated record